RNAcentral lists this ribosomal RNA (256 nucleotides) under uncultured bacterium. RNAcentral describes it as "partial 16S ribosomal RNA". It matches the Rfam family "Bacterial small subunit ribosomal RNA", at positions 524 to 776 of the family's 1533-position model. The record is from RNAcentral.
GACAGAGGGUGCAAACGUUUGUUCGGAAUUACUGGGCGUAAAGCGCGUGUAGGCGGCUGCGCAAGUCGGAUGUGAAAUCCCAUGGCUCAACCAUGGAAGUGCACCCGAAACUGCGUAGCUAGAGUCUCGGAGAGGAAGGCGGAAUGCUUGGUGUAGAGGUGAAAUUCGUAGAUAUCAAGCGGAACACCGGUGGCGAAGGCGGCCUUCUGGACGAUGACUGACGCUGGAGACGCGAAAGCCGUGGGGAGCAAACAGG